UUCGCGCCUGCGCAUUGCUUCAUCCAAUAUGGCGGCAGUUACACAGGGGUCGGGUACUGCGUUUGCCUUGGAAUCUAAUACCGAAACGAAUAUUUUCAAAUGAUUUUUAAUGUGUGUCUUACGACAGAUUCACACAAGUGCUGAUUAAACUGGGAAAAAUAAAAAAGAGACCAUUUAAAAACACUUUCUGAAACCUAUCCUACUGUCAGGUGUCUGGCUUUCAUCUACAUAUGUGCUUGUUGCAGUCUGACUAUAAUCAGUUGCUGGACAGUUGUCCCCGCAUCCAUCCUGGCAUGUAGGGUCAUCACCUGGGACUUUCCAUGAAGCUCCAAAUACAUUGACGUCGGUGACGAUGGUUCCAUUAGGAAGCAUGAACUCAUCAUUAACAUUAUUAUUAAAGUUUCCACAAAGCGCUUGCAGGUUAUUCUCAUAGCUUCCGGGAAUCUGAACAAUUGUUCUGUGGGCGGCGUCGUAGAGGACUUUCACCUCGGCUUCUGUCUGGAUGACUAUAAAGUGGCCUUCUUUGUUUACGAAGCCCUUCCCACAUGGACAGAACACAGGGAGUUGCUUGACUUCACCAUUGAUCUAGGACAGAUAUGUAGAUAACCAGUCAUUGGUAAUAGUGGAACCCUUUUGUAAUCAAUAGGUUUUAUUACUACAUUUUGAAUAUUCAUUAGAAUCAAUACUUUAGAG
This is a long non-coding RNA of Xenopus tropicalis (tropical clawed frog), 693 nucleotides long. RefSeq lists it as uncharacterized. The record is from RefSeq and is a predicted model, not a curated record. Lineage: Eukaryota; Metazoa; Chordata; Amphibia; Anura; Pipidae. The transcript has 2 exons.